GAUGAACGCUGGCGGCGUGCCCAAUACAUGCAAGUCGAGCGAACGGACGAGAAGCUUGCUUCUCUGAUGUUAGCGGCGGACGGGUGAGUAACACGUGGAUAACCUACCUAUAAGACUGGGAUAACUUCGGGAAACCGGAGCUAAUACCGGAUAAUAUUUUGAACCGCAUGGUUCAAAAGUGAAAGACGGUCUUGCUGUCACUUAUAGAUGGAUCCGCGCUGCAUUAGCUAGUUGGUAAGGUAACGGCUUACCAAGGCAACGAUGCAUAGCCGACCUGAGAGGGUGAUCGGCCACACUGGAACUGAGACACGGUCCAGACUCCUACGGGAGGCAGCAGUAGGGAAUCUUCCGCAAUGGGCGAAAGCCUGACGGAGCAACGCCGCGUGAGUGAUGAAGGUCUUCGGAUCGUAAAACUCUGUUAUUAGGGAAGAACAUAUGUGUAAGUAACUGUGCACAUCUUGACGGUACCUAAUCAGGAAGCCACGGCUAACUACGUG
RNAcentral lists this ribosomal RNA (497 nucleotides) under uncultured bacterium. RNAcentral's name for it is "partial 16S ribosomal RNA". It matches the Rfam family "Bacterial small subunit ribosomal RNA", at positions 28 to 507 of the family's 1533-position model. The record is from RNAcentral.